CCCUUAGAUGUUCUGGGCCGCACGCGCGCUACACUGAGCCCUUCAUCGAGUUUACAACCUUGGCCGGUAGGUCUGGGUAAUCUUCUCAAAGGGGCUCGUGCUGGGGAUAGAUUAUUGUAAUUUUUAAUCUUCAACGAGGAAUUCCUAGUAAACGCAAGUCAACAGCUUGCAUUGAUUACGUCCCUGCCCUUUGUACACACCGCCCGUCGCUACUACCGAUUGAAUGGCUUAGUGAGCCCGAGGGACUGUUGCACCUAGAGGGUUUUCCCUCCAGGAGCAGCCGGGAACUCGGUCAAACUUGAUCAUUUAGAGGAAGUAAAAGUCGUAACA
This 330-nucleotide ribosomal RNA is filed under the name uncultured eukaryote. Its description in RNAcentral is "partial 18S ribosomal RNA". It matches the Rfam family "Eukaryotic small subunit ribosomal RNA", at positions 1470 to 1796 of the family's 1831-position model. The record is from RNAcentral.